This 390-nucleotide ribosomal RNA is filed under the name uncultured bacterium. Its description in RNAcentral is "bacterial SSU rRNA". It matches the Rfam family "Bacterial small subunit ribosomal RNA", at positions 28 to 419 of the family's 1533-position model. The record is from RNAcentral.
GACGAACGCUGGCGGCGUGCUCAACACAUGCAAGUCGAGCGGUAAGGCCCUUUCGGGGGUACACGAGCGGCGAACGGGUGAGUAACACGUGGGUGACCUGCCCUCAGCUCUGGGAUAAGCCUGGGAAACUGGGUCUAAUACCGGAUAUGACUCCAUGACGCAUGUUGUGGGGUGGAAAGCCUUGUGCGGCUGAGGAUGGGCCCGCGGCCUAUCAGCUUGUUGGUGGGGUGAUGGCCUACCAAGGCGACGACGGGUAGCCGGCCUGAGAGGGCGACCGGCCACACUGGGACUGAGACACGGCCCAGACUCCUACGGGAGGCAGCAGUGGGGAAUCUUGCGCAAUGGGCGAAAGCCUGACGCAGCGACGCCGCGUGAGGGAUGACGGCCUGG